This 449-nucleotide ribosomal RNA is filed under the name uncultured bacterium. Its description in RNAcentral is "partial 16S ribosomal RNA". It matches the Rfam family "Bacterial small subunit ribosomal RNA", at positions 29 to 523 of the family's 1533-position model. The record is from RNAcentral.
AACGAACGCUGGCGGCAGGCUUAACACAUGCAAGUCGAACGCAUCCUUCGGGGUGAGUGUCAGACUGGUGAGUAACGCGUUGGAACGUGCCCUUCAGUUCGGUAUAACCCAGGGAAACUUGGGCUAAUACCGGAUACGUGCGAGAGCAGAAAGAUUUAUCGCUGAAGGAUCGGGCCGCGUCUGAUUAGCUCGUUAGUGGGGACAUUGCCCACCAAGGCGACGAUCAGUAGCUGGUCUUAAAGGAUGAUCAGCCACAUUGGGACUGAGACACCGACCAAAAUCCUAAGUGAGGCAGCAGUGGGGAAUAUUGGAGAAUGGGCGCAAUGUUGAUCCAGCCAUGCCGAGUGAGUGAUGAAGACCUUAGGGUUGUAAAGAUCUUUAGUCCGGGACGAUAAUGACGGUACCGGAAGAAGAAGCCACGGAUAACUUCGUGCCAGCCGCCGCGGUAA